Molecule: small RNA, 698 nt
Filed under: uncultured Candida
Lineage: Eukaryota; Fungi; Ascomycota; Saccharomycetes; Saccharomycetales
Description: eukaryotic LSU rRNA
Rfam family: Eukaryotic large subunit ribosomal RNA (bases 423-698)
Source: RNAcentral
CUUGGUCAUUUAGAGGAAGUAAAAGUCGUAACAAGGUUUCCGUAGGUGAACCUGCGGAAGGAUCAUUAAAGUUUGCUUAAUUGCAUUACACGUGUUUUUUUAGAGAACUUGCUUGCAAGAACACUAAUAAUUUACUUAGUCAACAAAUAAAAAUAUCAAAACUUUCAACAACGGAUCUCUUGGUUCUCGCAUCGAUGAAGAACGCAGCGAAAUGCGAUACGUAAUAUGAAUUGCAGAUUUUCGUGAAUCAUCGAAUCUUUGAACGCACAUUGCGCCCUGUGGUAUUCCACAGGGCAUGCCUGUUUGAGCGUCAUUUCUCCCUCAAACCUCUGGUUUGGCGUUGAGUGAUACUCGGUUUACUUGAAAAACAUGAAAAGCAUAACUAUUAGGUUUUACCAACUCGUUAUACUAAUCUACAAGUUUGACCUCAAAUCAGGUAGGACUACCCGCUGAACUUAAGCAUAUCAAUAAGCGGAGGAAAAGAAACCAACCGGGAUUGCCUCAGUAACGGCGAGUGAAGCGGCAGAAGCUCAAAUUUGAAAUCUACGUAAGCCGAGUUGUAAUUUGAAGAUGGCUACUUUGGUAAUGGCUCUUGUCUAUGUUCCUUGGAACAGGACGUCACAGAGGGUGAGAAUCCCGUGCGAUGAGAUGUCCAUUACCGUGUAAAGUGCUUUCGAAGAGUCGAGUUGUUUGGGAAU